UGGAUCGGAAAAUUCUAGGUAUUUUAGGGUGGAUUAAGCCAAAUUAGCACCAUCUGAAUCUAGGAUGAUAGUAAAUUAGAUGACACAGCAGGAAGUACACUUAAGAUUGGAAUCCCAUAUUUCCCUCCUACCUCUACCUCCAUUCUCCCUCACCCAAGAGUGAACUUGUGUAAUUAGUAUAGAGAUGAUAAGGCUAUCAAAGUAUCAAUGUGUGAUCAUGGUGUUGCCAA
This 230-nucleotide unclassified non-coding RNA is filed under the name Hevea brasiliensis (rubber tree). Lineage: Eukaryota; Viridiplantae; Streptophyta; Magnoliopsida; Malpighiales; Euphorbiaceae. The record is from RNAcentral.